AUAGAUACCCGGGUAGUCCACGCCGUAAACGAUGAGUGCUAAGUGUUAGAGGGUUUCCGCCCUUUAGUGCUGCAGCUAACGCAUUAAGCACUCCGCCUGGGGGAGUACGGUCGCAAGACUGAAACUCAAAGGAAUUGACGGGGGCCCGCACAAGCGGUGGAGCAUGUGGUUUAAUUCGAAGCAACGCGAAGAACCUUACCAGGUCUUGACAUCCUCUGACAACUCUAGAGAUAGAGCGUUCCCCUUCGGGGGACAGAGUGACAGGUGGUGCAUGGUUGUCGUCAGCUCGUGUCGUGAGAUGUUGGGUUAAGUCCCGCAACGAGCGCAACCCUUGAUCUUAGUUGCCAGCAUUUAGUUGGGCACUCUAAGGUGACUGCCGGUGACAAACCGGAGGAAGGUGGGGAUGACGUCAAAUCAUCAUGCCCCUUAUGACCUGGGCUACACACGUGCUACAAUGGAUGGUACAAAGGGCUGCAAGCCGCGAGGUCAAGCCAAUCCCAUAAAACCAUUCUCAGUUCGGAUUGUAGGC
RNAcentral lists this ribosomal RNA (529 nucleotides) under uncultured bacterium. RNAcentral's name for it is "bacterial SSU rRNA". It matches the Rfam family "Bacterial small subunit ribosomal RNA", at positions 778 to 1305 of the family's 1533-position model. The record is from RNAcentral.